This 153-nucleotide ribosomal RNA is filed under the name uncultured Alphaproteobacteria bacterium. RNAcentral's name for it is "partial 16S ribosomal RNA". It matches the Rfam family "Bacterial small subunit ribosomal RNA", at positions 335 to 504 of the family's 1533-position model. The record is from RNAcentral. Lineage: Bacteria; Pseudomonadati; Pseudomonadota; Alphaproteobacteria.
ACUCCUACGGGAGGCAGCAGUGGGGAAUAUUGGACAAUGGGCNGCAAGCCUGAUCCAGCCAUGCCGCGUGAGUGAAGAAGGCCUUAGGGUUGUAAAGCUCUUUCACCNGCGAAGAUAAUGACGGUACCAGCAGAAGAAGCCCCGGCUAACUCC